This 481-nucleotide ribosomal RNA is filed under the name uncultured bacterium. RNAcentral's name for it is "partial 16S ribosomal RNA". It matches the Rfam family "Bacterial small subunit ribosomal RNA", at positions 28 to 507 of the family's 1533-position model. The record is from RNAcentral.
GACGAACGUUGGCGGCGUGCUUAAUACAUGCAAGUCAACUGAAGCAGUGGUAGCAAUAUCGCUGUGGAGGUGGCGCACGGGUGAGUAACACGUAGGUAAUCUGCCUUCAGGUCUGGCAUAACUCCGGGAAACCGGGGCUAAUAGCAGAUGAUGCAGCGGCUCGACAUCGAGACAGUUGUUAAAGCUAUGGCGCCUGAAGAUGAGCCUGCGUCUGAUUAGCUAGUUGGCGGGGUAACGGCCCACCAAGGCAACGAUCAGUAGCUGGUCUGAGAGGAUGAUCAGCCACACUGGAACUGAGACACGGUCCAGACUCCUACGGGAGGCAGCAGUAAGGAAUAUUGCUCAAUGGGAGAAAUCCUGAAGCAGCAACGCCGCGUGAGAGACGAAGGGCUUUUGCUUGUAAACCUCUGUAGUGAGAGAAAAAAAUCCCAAUCUUUGGGACAUGAUGGUAUCUCAAAAGUAAGCCCCGGCUAACUACGUG